RNAcentral lists this ribosomal RNA (425 nucleotides) under uncultured bacterium. RNAcentral describes it as "bacterial SSU rRNA". It matches the Rfam family "Bacterial small subunit ribosomal RNA", at positions 917 to 1341 of the family's 1533-position model. The record is from RNAcentral.
GGGCCCGCACAAGCAGCGGAGCGUGUUGCUUAAUUCGAUGCAACGCGAAGAACCUUACCUACUCUUGACAUCCCUGAAACCUGCUAGAGAUAGCAGGGUGCCUUCGGGAAUCAGGUGACAGGUGUUGCAUGGCUGUCGUCAGCUCGUGUCGUGAGAUGUUGGGUUAAGUCCCGUAACGAGCGCAACCCUUAUCCUUAGUUACCAGCACGUAAUGGUGGGGACUCUAGGGAGACUGCCGGUGAUAAACCGGAGGAAGGCGAGGACGACGUCAAGUCAUCAUGGCCCUUACGAGUAGGGCUACACACGUGCUACAAUGGGCAGUACAACGGGUCGCGAAACCGUGAGGUGGAGCUAAUCCUUUAAAGCUGUUCUCAGUCCGGAUUGAAGUCUGCAACUCGACUUCAUGAAGUUGGAAUCGCUAGUAA